UGGGUCGAGCCUGGCAUGGACGAAGACAGCCAUGCCUGUCAGGCCCCCAGCCUCACGCCGCUAUAAAUAGCCGGGGACGUGGGGUUGUCGGUCUCUUUGUGCGAUGGUCUCGCUGCACCGGUUUGGGGAGUGCUGCUUUGCCCCCCUCGGGGCUGUCGGGCUCCCUCCCCGACACCCGGGGAGGCGAUGGCCCGGGCUUCCUGCGAGUGGGUGUCUCGGGGCCCUGCGGGUGAGGGGGCCGCAGUCUCGGGCUGAGCAGGAUGACCUACCGUUACAGACUAGAGUUUCUGACGCGCCCGUGACGCCGCUCUUCGGAACUGACCCAGCCCAGGGCCGGGGGGACGCGGCUAGCGUCUUCCCGGCCUCUGCUGACUCCCUGUUUCUUCCCAGGUCCCUGGUCCCCGCAGGCGUGUCCGCAGCGCCGCGAGGGUUUCUUAAGAUGUAUGCCGGAGUGUUAACCGUUGAAUAAAGCAUGAUUAUUCUGGAAGCCUAGCUGGGGUCGCUCCCUUUCAGAUUAGGCACCGGUCUGGUGGCGGCUGAAGGGCUGAAGUUUUUUGAAUUCGCCCUCUUGGAGAGAUGCUGUGGAGAGAUGUCUGUAAUGCCUAGGUAAUGGCUCCUGCCACUUGAACCUACAGGCUGUGAUGAGAAGAGCCACAUUGUUUCUUUGUGGCUACUAUGGUGUUAACGCAGAGGAUUAUCCUAUCUGGUGUUGGGCAGAUCCUAGGAACUUCCAUCUAACCUUCUUGCAUUAACUUGUAUGAGCAGCAGCUGUCAACUUACUGGAAAAAUGAAACUGCCCAGGAAUUUUGAGAUGCUUAAAUAUUUUUAGAUCAAUGAGACUUCUUUAAUAAAAACAUUUGUUUUUAUUAAAAAGAUUCUAAUAAAACA
Long non-coding RNA from Neogale vison (American mink), 888 nucleotides. RefSeq lists it as uncharacterized. Lineage: Eukaryota; Metazoa; Chordata; Mammalia; Carnivora; Mustelidae. The record is from RefSeq and is a predicted model, not a curated record. The transcript is spliced from 4 exons.